RNAcentral lists this ribosomal RNA (253 nucleotides) under uncultured bacterium. RNAcentral describes it as "partial 16S ribosomal RNA". It matches the Rfam family "Bacterial small subunit ribosomal RNA", at positions 524 to 776 of the family's 1533-position model. The record is from RNAcentral.
UACAGAGGGUGCAAGCGUUAAUCGGAAUUACUGGGCGUAAAGCGUGCGUAGACGGUUAUGUAAGUCAGGUGUGAAAGCCCCGGGCUCAACCUGGGAAUUGCAUUUGAGACUGCAUAGCUAGGGUGCGGAAGAGGGAAGCGGAAUUUCCGGUGUAGCGGUGAAAUGCGUAGAUAUCGGAAGGAACACCAGUGGCGAAGGCGGCUACCUGGACCAGCACUGACACUGAAGCACGAAAGCGUGGGGAGCAAACAGG